Molecule: long non-coding RNA, 403 nt
Organism: Cyprinus carpio (common carp)
Lineage: Eukaryota; Metazoa; Chordata; Actinopteri; Cypriniformes; Cyprinidae
Exons: 3
Source: RefSeq, a predicted model, not a curated record
UCCCGUUUCGCUUCUGGUUCAUGGACUGAGGGCUGCUGUGAUUUUGGCUUUGCAGGACGAUUGCGGCAACUGUAGUUAUCUCCGUGGCUGCAGAUAUUGUGGCUUUGACUUAUUGUUGGUGGCGGCGUGUGUCUCGCAUCUGCAUAUGCGACUACAUUCAGUCAAUAUAAUGCUGUGUAUGGGCGGAUGACGACUGUAUAUGCUGAGUUAUUUUCCUUGCGUAUCCUGAGCUCCACCGGCUGAGUGAUUAAACCGAAACUAUACUUCGCAUUGCAUCUAUGGAGUAUUAUCUUCACUUCUACUGACUCCCGGGUCCCUGUGCCUGUUAUCUGAGUGAUAGGGGCACGCAGUGACGUCACCGCUGUCUUGUUCCUGGUUGAACAUUCAUGAAUUUCGUGUUAAU